This 2695-nucleotide long non-coding RNA is filed under the name Struthio camelus australis. Its description in RNAcentral is "lncRNA (ENSSCUG00000002780.1)". Lineage: Eukaryota; Metazoa; Chordata; Aves; Struthioniformes; Struthionidae. The record is from RNAcentral.
CUUUUAUGACAGUAGAUAAAGAUCAUGAUGUCCUGGCCUCACAGCUGGGGCCUCCACUGGAAAUACACCUGUUAAAUAAAGGUAUGGUAGGAGCUCACAUGAAUGAAGUUUAGUGGCCUGAAUAGAGCUCUGGAAAUUUGCAGGGUCUUAUCUUGCAUAAGCCACUGAAUCGUGGCUUGACCUGAGAGGAAGCACACGACCUCCUGGGCUAUAGAUCAGUGCAUCCGGAAAUAAAGAAUAAUGUAGAUCUCAUUGGAAAACAUGAAGGGGAACUUUCCUGGGAAAACCAAUAAAAAUAUUGUUUGGUUGGAAUUAUAUCAAAUUACUUCUUAUCACUUCUGGGGUAGAAACUGAUAAAAAAAGAUGCUGUGAAGUCUUUCAUACAGAGGACUUGGGAGCUGUCUUUCCUGUUUGUGCUGGUGAAGAGCCCUGUCUCUGUUCAGUGAGGCUCUCUAGGCUUUGCUCUGACGCUCACAUGGCCUCUUUCCCCCUGUUGUGUAGACAUCCCAGAGGAUCGCCAACCAGCUGCAUGGGACUAUUGCCUUGGUGAGACCUGGCUCGAGACCAUGCCUCCAGGAAAAAAGUCCUCCAGGGGCCACACUGUCCCCACCAGCAAGAAAGACUCCUCUCCCACUGGAGCGUGAGCACAGCCCCAGCCUCGAGGCUUAUGCAACAGCAAGCAAGCCAGACUCUCCCAAGGUUGCUCCAUCCUAUGAAAACCUAAAACUGACUGCCAGGAAAGAGCAGCUCUGCCUCCUCAGCAAGCAUUUUUCCCUGCACCAGCUGGGGCUGGCGAGUACCUGUGCUUCUGCCGACCGGGAUGGCAGCUUCUCCAGCCAUUUCCUCAGGGCCAAAGACGCUGAAGGCAGUGUGAAGUCGUGCGACGACUGGGAAGAUCGCGCAGCCAUUUUCAAACUCCCCGGCGCCGUGGUUUACAUGCGGGAUCAGCAUCUGGAGGGGAAACUCCACUUCCUCAAGCACCGAGAGUGGCUGCAGCACUUCCUCGCUCACCAGCGCCAGCAAGGCCUCCGCGCCAGGGCGGAUGGCGACCCGCAACCCGCUCCCGAGGAGCGGUCCCCGACCCCCUGGCCGAGCGUCACGCCAGGAGGCAAAGAGGAAAGCUCCUUCCUGGAGGACACCGUGGAUGGGAAAGACGACAAAGAGCUUUGGCUAAGCAGGGACGGCUCUGAGCUCAGAGAGAAGGCCGAGGCGGCGAGGGACUACGGCACAGAUGCGCCGCUGGACCUGUCGGACUCGGGUCGCGGCAGGGAGAGGGGCCGGCACAGCUCCCCGGAGCUGCGGGAGGCGGGCCACGGGUGGCCCAGCCCUGGGGAGACCCCCCCUGCUCCAGCAGCCCAGGGCUCCUGCCGACGGCACAGGGCAGAGCGGGACGACUCGCACCUCUCCUACCGCUGCCUCCAAGCUGCCCGAGCUCAGCACAGGGGCCAGCCCGGCGGUGUCAAGGAGGAGGAAGAAGAGGAGGAGCAAGCAGCCGUGCUCUCUUUCUCACGGGCCCACCCCACAAGCAAGUCAACGUCGAGUGACCCUGAGGCCCUUCUGGAGACCAGGAUGAGACUGUCUCUCAAUGCACAGAAGGCAGAACCAGACGAUGAGGAUGUUGAGUCUGGGAAGCAGGACUCUGAUGAGCCCAACACAACGGACAGCGAGGUUUGUUUGCUUUUCUUAGUCCAUUAACUUCGACUGCCUUGGGUCUGGCGACACUUUCACUCUGGGGAUUCCUGUUCUGGGAGGCAAUGAGAUACGACAAAUGCCCACCUGCCUGGACUCACUGGUGACAGAGAUGACAGUUCUUCCUACAUGAGAUGCCAAACCCCUUUUCCACAUUGCUACCCAGCUUGUUAACAAGGGAUAGAAAUAUUAUUCUUUCCAGAUAGAGUCAAGAGGGUUUUUGAAUGCCAACAUUUGUCACAGGGAUAUGGCAAUCCAUCCCAGCCAUCAGCUCCCUGGAACGCAGAGUAAUUUGUGGACUGACUGGUCUUCCCAUUGGUGUAGGUCACUGUUCCAUAUGAACACAACAUCCCACAAGAAGCCCAAGCUGAAGGAGAAUAUUUUUGCACCAAAGACAGAGCUGAUGCGCUGCUAAAGAAGAGAAAAAGAGCACAGGAUCCCUUGACAAAAGGUAGGAAGGAGGAACUCCUUAUGGGAUCAGCUCAGGGCUACAACUUCUGCUGCUUCCUGAGGGGCUCCUUUUAAAAGAAAUACCCGAAGGCACCCAGCGCUUUCCCUUCCCACAGAGAGGCGGGUGCUCUUCCGCCAAAUGAAUUGCACGCUGCAAACAAAUGUUUGCCCAAGGUGAUACUGUUGAGUCUUUCGGCUGCCUGCGAUAAGACAUGCUGCGCCGUGUUUUGGCAACGGGUGUAUCUCCAACCAGAGGAGCCCCCUGCUAAUGGUUAGCCAGGUGAGCCUAGGCGACAGUGGCUCAGAGAGCGCUCCUGAACACCUAAGCUAACAGGUAUAACUCCCUCGUGUUUGUUCAGCCAGUCUGGAAAGGUGCUGAUUGGAGAGGGCCAAAUUCCCAGCAGUGAGUUAUUGACAUUCACAGAAAAGUUUCUCGCAAACUCUGUUGAUUUUCCAGUGCGGCUGUAGAGGCUUUUCCUGGCUGACAAUGGAAUGUGUUGUACCCCGGUUUCCUACAGGUGAAUAAGCAGAAAAUUGUUCCCGAUAAGGGCAAGGA